GAUGAACGCUAGCGACAGGCUUAACACAUGCAAGUCGAGGGGCAGCGGGGGUAGCAAUACCCGCCGGCGACCGGCGCACGGGUGAGUAACGCGUAUGCAACUUACCUAUCAGAGGGGGAUAACCCGGCGAAAGUCGGACUAAUACCGCAUGAAGCAGGGAUCCGCAUGGGAAGUAUUUGCUAAAGAAUUCUAUCGCUGAUAGAUAGGCAUGCGUUCCAUUAGGCAGUUGGCGGGGUAACGGCCCACCAAACCGACGAUGGAUAGGGGUUCUGAGAGGAAGGUCCCCCCACAUUGGUACUGAGACACGGACCAAACUCCUACGGGAGGCAGCAGGUGAGGAAUAUUGGGUCAAUGGGCCGAGAGGCUGAACCAGCCAGUCGCGUGAGGGAUG
RNAcentral lists this ribosomal RNA (391 nucleotides) under uncultured bacterium. RNAcentral describes it as "bacterial SSU rRNA". It matches the Rfam family "Bacterial small subunit ribosomal RNA", at positions 28 to 410 of the family's 1533-position model. The record is from RNAcentral.